CCCUUAGAUGUUCUGGGCUACACGCGCGCUACACUGACACUAUCAACGAGUGCUCCUGGUUUGAAAGGAUCGGGUAAUCUUUUGAAAUGGUGUCGUGAUGGGGAUAGAUCAUUGCAAUUAUUGAUCUUGAACGAGGAAUUCCUAGUAAAUGUGAGUCAUCAGCUCACGUUGAUUACGUCCCUGCCCUUUGUACACACCGCCCGUCGCUCCUACCGAUUGAGUGAACCGAUGAGUAGUCCGGAUUGCGAUCGACCUCGGUUAAUCGCGAGAAGUUCCGCAAAUCACUUCACUUAGAGGAAGGAGAAGUCGUAACA
This 314-nucleotide ribosomal RNA is filed under the name uncultured eukaryote. RNAcentral's name for it is "partial 18S ribosomal RNA". It matches the Rfam family "Eukaryotic small subunit ribosomal RNA", at positions 1470 to 1796 of the family's 1831-position model. The record is from RNAcentral.